UGCCUCGAAGCUCGGUCGCGCGCAACGCGUCGGAGCGCAUUUAUUAGAACAAAACCAAUCGGACGCAGGCUAUCUAUUGGUCUGGGUCCGCGAAAGGUUGGUGAAUCGGAAUAACUAUGCUGAUCGCACGGUCCAGCACCGGCGACGAAUCUUUGAAAUGACUUGCUCAUCAACUUUCGAUGGUACGCUACGUGCUUACCAUGGUGACAACGGUUAACGGAGAAUCAGGGUUCGACUCCGGAGAGGGAGCCUGAGAAACGGCUACCACAUCCAAGGAAGGCAGCAGGCACGCAAAUUACCCACUCCCAGAUCGGGGAGGUAGUGACGAAAAAUAACGGAACGUAUCUCCAUGAGACGCGUUACCGGAACGACUGAGCCGUACACAAGCUCGGCUAAAUCUAUUGGAGGGCAAGUCUGGUGCCAGCAGCCGCGGUAAUUCCAGCUCCAAUAGCGUAUAUUAAAGUUGCUGCGGUUAAACCGCUCGUAGUUGGAUUGCGGAUGUCGACGACGGUCGUCCUAAGC
RNAcentral lists this ribosomal RNA (522 nucleotides) under Trichuris suis (pig whipworm). RNAcentral's name for it is "SSU rRNA". It matches the Rfam family "Eukaryotic small subunit ribosomal RNA", at positions 171 to 668 of the family's 1831-position model. The record is from RNAcentral. Lineage: Eukaryota; Metazoa; Nematoda; Enoplea; Trichinellida; Trichuridae.